RNAcentral lists this signal recognition particle RNA (106 nucleotides) under Flavobacterium succinicans. RNAcentral's name for it is "Bacteroidales small SRP". It matches the Rfam family "Bacteroidales small SRP". From Rfam's summary of the family: The non-coding component of the signal recognition particle in Bacteroides The record is from RNAcentral. Lineage: Bacteria; Pseudomonadati; Bacteroidota; Flavobacteriia; Flavobacteriales; Flavobacteriaceae.
UUUGCACCGGCAAGUCCUACACGACCAGCUCCUGCAGACUCCCCCAGGGUGGGAACGCAGCAAGGGUACGCGGUUGAGCGGUGCGAUGUAGGUCGCUUGCCAUUUU